Molecule: ribosomal RNA, 466 nt
Filed under: uncultured bacterium
Lineage: Bacteria
Description: bacterial SSU rRNA
Rfam family: Bacterial small subunit ribosomal RNA
Source: RNAcentral
UAGGGAAUAUUGGACAAUGGGUGAGAGCCUGAUCCAGCCAUGCCGCGUGCAGGAAGAAGGCGUUAUGCGUUGUAAACUGCUUUUUGCCAGGGGAUAAAAAGACCGUGCGCGGUUAAUUGAAGGUACCUGGUGAAUAAGCCACGGCUAACUACGUGCCAGCAGCCGCGGUAAUACGUAGGUGGCAAGCGUUGUCCGGAUUUAUUGGGUUUAAAGGGUGCGUAGGUGGCCCUGUAAGUCAGUGGUGAAAUAUCUCAGCUUAACUGAGAGGGUGCCAUUGAUACUGCAGGGCUUGAGUACAGAUGAGGUAGGCGGAAUUGACGGUGUAGCGGUGAAAUGCAUAGAUAUCGUCAAGAACACCGAUAGCGAAGGCAGCUUACCAAGCUGUAACUGACACUGAGGCACGAAAGUGUGGGGAUCAAACAGGAUUAGAUACCCCCGAGUCCCUGAGCGGGCUGGCAAGGCGCAU